GACGAACGCUGACGGCGUGCUUUAGACAUGCAAGUCGAACGCGAAAGCCCUUCGGGGCGAGUAGAGUGGCGAACGGGUGAGUAACACGUGGGUAACCUGCCCCUCGCAGGGGGAUAACCGGAGGAAACUCCGGCUAAUACCCCGUACGCUCCGGGGUCCGCAUGGUCUCCGGAGGAAAGGUAGCUUCGGCCAUCCGGCGAGGGAUGGGCCCGCGGCGCAUUAGCUAGUUGGUGGGGUAACGGCUCACCAAGGCGACGAUGCGUAGCUGGUCUGAGAG
RNAcentral lists this ribosomal RNA (277 nucleotides) under uncultured bacterium. RNAcentral describes it as "partial 16S ribosomal RNA". It matches the Rfam family "Bacterial small subunit ribosomal RNA", at positions 28 to 298 of the family's 1533-position model. The record is from RNAcentral.